ACCUCCUCACCUGAUCCGACGCCGUAGCACCUCUCCCUGUCCCUGUCCCCAUCUCCCUCCGUCUCCCUGGCCAAGCACUCCACCUGGAAGCACCCUGCCCCGAACUGCACCGCAGUCGUCGACGCUAAGCGCUGGCCCACGCUCUCCAAGGUUGCAAGGGUGAUCAACUUGCUAUUGGGAAGGAAACAACACGUCGUUUGGGAAUGGGUACUAAAUGUAAGGAUGAGUCACUUGCUUCAUUGCCAAUUGAUGAAUUGACCGAGAAGGCUGAUGGCUUUGCUAGAGUCUUUCCAGAUCUAUGUUGAAUCAAUUACCAUCUGUAUUGUGCUUGGUUUUAUGCUUCUUGCGCUGAUAUGGAAGUUUGACUUCCCAACAUUUACCGUCCAGAUCAUUGCCAUCCUCAAUGACGUACAAGCAGCAUAUUAGGUAAACUAACAACAUCAACCUGGCGACAUGAAUAAGUACCAUUGUGGCUAUCUCGAAGGACAUAGUAAAACCACCUGCACAACCUGACAGUUGGAAGUUAUUUGGUCGUGAUGACUGUCAUUUUUUCUUCUGGGCUACGUACAAGACUGACUUCUUCUCGGUAUGGGCCAGUGGCUGGUUUAGCAUUAUUUAAAGUUUUGAGAAAUCAUCGUAGUGUGCCCAUCCUUUUCAUGGUUGCUAAUAUACAGAAAUUGUUCCAUGUCGAAAGCCUUGAGAAAAUUUCCCAGGGUGAUUUUCAUACGCUUUCCUCUGCCAUGUACCUUCAAGUCAGCACAAUCAAUCAGGGCCCUUAACUUACACGGUCUCGCACGCUCGCAACUGGUCAUUUGUGUACCGUCCUAGGUUCUUGCUAACCUUUGCCUUCUUGGUGGCGCAGCUGCUGAGUCAUCCGACUCUAGUUCCAUACCUUACUGUUGUAUGUGGUCUUUCCGCGUCUCCUUACAUUUUAUGGUGUUUGCAGAAUGCCACUCUGAUUGUUGUAUAUGCCAACUGGGCAUUUGCUGCUAUUAAGGGCAUUGGAUGGGGCUGGGCCGGUGUCAAAUGGCUCUACAUCAUUGUCUUCUACUUCCUGCUGCGCAUCAUCAAUUUCCUCAUCCUGCUAUACGCUGAGUAGGAGGGCAUGGAACCUCGUCCUUAUGUAUAUACUAGGUGUGUGCCCGUACGUUGCAACGGGAGUAUGUUAGGAUGAGCAUCGACACAUAUUUGAUCGGAUAUUAUAUUUUUUGGGAUCUGGAGAAAGUUUGCUCGG
RNA transcript from Zea mays, 1234 nucleotides. It is a transcript of the gene named plasma membrane ATPase pseudogene, with no coding region annotated. The record is from RefSeq and is marked validated. The transcript is spliced from 5 exons. NCBI's taxonomy places the organism in Eukaryota, Viridiplantae, Streptophyta, Magnoliopsida, Poales, Poaceae.